AACGAACGCUGGCGGCAUGCCUAACACAUGCAAGUCGAACGAGACCUUCGGGUCUAGUGGCGCACGGGUGCGUAACGCGUGGGAACCUGCCCUUAGGUUCGGAAUAACUCCCCGAAAGGGGUGCUAAUACCGGAUAAUGUCUUCGGACCAAAGAUUUAUCGCCUUUGGAUGGGCCCGCGUUGGAUUAGCUAGUUGGUAGGGUAAAAGCCUACUAAGGCGACGAUCCAUAGCUGGUCUGAGAGGAUGAUCAGCCACACUGGGACUGAGACACGGCCCAGACUACUACGGGAGGCAGCAGUGGGGAAUAUUGGACAAUGGGCGAAAGCCUGAUCCAGCAAUGCCGCGUGAGUGAUGAAGGCCUUAGGGUUGUAAAGCUCUUUUACCCGGGAUGAUAAUGACAGUACCGGGAGAAUAAGCUCCGGCUAACUCCGUG
Molecule: ribosomal RNA, 433 nt
Filed under: uncultured bacterium
Lineage: Bacteria
Description: partial 16S ribosomal RNA
Rfam family: Bacterial small subunit ribosomal RNA
Source: RNAcentral